GAGGCGCGAACAUACAGUCUAUGGGCUCGAAGCGAGAGAGAGACAGUCGGGAGCCAAGGAGGAAGGCACGAGGAAAGAGGUAAAAGCCAUUUUUUUAUAUCUAUCAAAUAACGAAAUGAUAAGGAAAGCACAAUGUGACUACACUCCGGACUCAAUUCUCUGCUACUCAACCGAAUAAUGGGACUGGGCAUGUGUGAGUGUAAGCUAUGCUACAGGCUGUAAAGACGAUCACAGGAAGAAAAAUCAGAGUCCAAAGUGGCCGUGUUUCUGCUAAAAACCCACAAAAUCGAACCGAAAUUAGCCCCAUAUGUCUUGCUAGCAUAUAAACACAGACAGUGAUCCACACAUUAUAGCUUAUAAACACACUGAAUAUUGUUUCAGUUUCUGUAAAGGGAAACUUUGCAAAUUUACUUUGAAUCUUACAGAAAUGAAGAGAAAAGGGACCCUACACAAUUUUUUCAAGAGGGCCAGAGUACAAAAUGAAGUAGGACAUGAGGUGGAAGGAGAGAGAGAAGACGUUGAAGGAGAGAGAGACAAGCAUGAGGUGGAAGGCGAGAGAGAGGAUGAAGAAAAGGUGGAAGGAGAGAGAGACAAGCAUGAGGUGGAAGUAGAGGGUGAAGAUAAAGACGAGCUGGCGGAACAGAGGGACGAGCAAAGAAAAUCUGACCACAGAACAUGUGGAGGAAGGAGAGCACCACCAAAUAGGAAAGGACAGUGCCUGAGCCAUCACCAGUGACCUCCAGUAGAGCUGCUGGUCCACAUGGUAUGGAAAUUGUUUCUGCAUAAUUGACCAAGUUACAUAUUAAAAAGGACAAUUACCGAAAUUGACAUUUUGCUGUCAUUCAAUUUAACAGCUAUUGUUUAGACUUCUUCAAAUAAAUAUUCAUCUUUGCUUAAAUGUAAGUACUUGGGAAAACUUUUAAAUGUUUAAGUAUAGUCACAUGGUAACAGAAUAUUAAUAUUUUGUGUACAAUGUAUUUUAGAUCUAUUGCUCAGUUUAAAUUCCGAAAAUCGAACAAUCCAAAAAUAUUCUCCCUGGCUAAAAUGUUCUAUGUAUGUGUGUUUACACAGUAUGAUGAAUAUAAUGAAUUGUUUUAAGUUGUUAUAUUGUUAAAUUAGUGCAGAUUCCGUAUAGUUGUGAACCUUCUCCUCUCCAUCUUCUAGAUUUAUCAAAGUCCCGAUGGGAACCACCGACACAGCCAAAAAGGGAAAGUUUUCCAAGGACUCUCCAGGGAGGAGCCAGGAGAAGCUUCCGCAGUGACUGGUACAAAUGCCAUCCCUGGCUAGAAUAUUCGUAGUCAAUACUCAGCCUUUAGUCAAAACGCACAAAAGCAUUAGAUCUAGAUUAAUUUGGGAAGUGUUUUGCCGGACAGCAUGGAAAUCACUAAAUUCAGCAGUUAUAGUCAUCAAAUUUACGUUGUGCUCACUGGUGUGCCUUUACAAAGCUUUUUAAAUGAUGACCUACAUUGUAUUUAUAUAUUUGUUUUGGAAACUGGGAAAAUGAUAGUAGGCUACCUUGCAUAUGAGAAAGAGAGGU
Non-coding RNA from Xyrichtys novacula (pearly razorfish), 1537 nucleotides. The record is from the annotation of a GenBank genome assembly. NCBI's taxonomy places the organism in Eukaryota, Metazoa, Chordata, Actinopteri, Labriformes, Labridae.